CUCAGGGUGCGGGCCCCGGGGGACUCUACGGGAGGCAGCAGUGGGGAAUAUUGCACAAUGGGCGCAAGCCUGAUGCAGCCAUGCCGCGUGUGUGAAUAAGGCUUCGGGUUGUAAAGCACUUUCAGCGAGGAGGAGGGUCCGGUGUUAAUAGCACUGUAAUUGAGUUACUCGAGGCAAGCGACGC
RNAcentral lists this ribosomal RNA (184 nucleotides) under uncultured bacterium. RNAcentral's name for it is "partial 16S ribosomal RNA". It matches the Rfam family "Bacterial small subunit ribosomal RNA", at positions 312 to 496 of the family's 1533-position model. The record is from RNAcentral.